Molecule: ribosomal RNA, 509 nt
Filed under: uncultured bacterium
Lineage: Bacteria
Description: bacterial SSU rRNA
Rfam family: Bacterial small subunit ribosomal RNA
Source: RNAcentral
GAAAGACGGCCUUUGUGCUGUCGCUUAUGGAUGGACCCGCGGCGUAUUAGUUAGUUGGUGAGGUAACGGCUCACCAAGACGAUGAUACGUAGCCGACCUGAGAGGGUGAUCGGCCACAUUGGGACUGAGACACGGCCCAAACUCCUACGGGAGGCAGCAGUAGGGAAUCUUCCGCAAUGGACGAAAGUCUGACGGAGCAACGCCGCGUGAGUGAAGAAGGUUUUCGGAUCGUAAAACUCUGUUGUCAGAGAAGAACAAGUUGGAGAGUAACUGCUCCAGCCUUGACGGUAUCUGACCAGAAAGCCACGGCUAACUACGUGCCAGCAGCCGCGGUAAUACGUAGGUGGCAAGCGUUGUCCGGAUUUAUUGGGCGUAAAGCGAGCGCAGGCGGUUCCUUAAGUCUGAUGUGAAAGCCCACGGCUCAACCGUGGAAGGUCAUUGGAACUGGGGAACUUGAGUGCAGAAGAGGAGAGUGGAAUUCCAUGUGUAGCGGUGAAAUGCGUAGAUAU